CCUACGGGGGGCUGCAGUCGAGAAUUAUUCACAAUGGGGGAAACCCUGAUGGUGCGACGCCGCGGGGGGGAAUGAAGGUCUUCGGAUUGUAAACCCCUGUCAUGUGGGAGCAAAUGAAAAAGAUAGUACCACAAAAGGAAGAGACGGCUAACUCUGUGCCAGCAGCCGCGGUAAUACAGAGGUCUCAAGCGUGGUUCGGAAUCACUGGGCGUAAAGCGGGCGUAGGCUGUUUCGUAAGUCGUGUGUGAAAGGCGCGGGCUCAACCCGCGGACGGCACAUGAUACUGCGAGACUAGAGUGAUGGAGGGGGAACCGGAAUUCUCGGUGUAGCAGUGAAAUGCGUAGAUAUCGAGAGGAACACUCGUGGCGAAGGCGGGUUCCUGGACAUUAACUGACGCUGAGGCACGAAGGCCAGGGGAGCGAAAGGGAUUAGAUACCCGGGUAGUC
Molecule: ribosomal RNA, 446 nt
Filed under: uncultured bacterium
Lineage: Bacteria
Description: partial 16S ribosomal RNA
Rfam family: Bacterial small subunit ribosomal RNA
Source: RNAcentral